RNAcentral lists this long non-coding RNA (960 nucleotides) under Equus caballus (horse). RNAcentral's name for it is "lncRNA (ENSECAG00000031941.2)". The record is from RNAcentral. Lineage: Eukaryota; Metazoa; Chordata; Mammalia; Perissodactyla; Equidae.
GGCGUUCUUCUCGGCGACUCCGGGAUGCCGGCGGCGCCCGAUGCUGCCUCCCUCCGGCGUCCUGCGCGGAGCGGACGCAUCCUUCGUCCUCCGAGUGGCCAUGGCCUUUAAACUUCCCAGUCCUCGGCUGGGAGAGGGGUGCGCCAAGUUUUCAGCUGUGAGGUUCCCUUGCUCCUCUACCCCCGCCUCCCCUAAAGGCCUCCAAGGUGUCAAGCCUCUGGACACUGGAUGCGGCAACCCUCCCCCCUCCCCCCUCCAUACACAUGCCCCGGGCGAGGGAGUCGCGAGGCCACCUCCCCAGGCCAUCCCUUUUGUGAAUGACAGCAUCAGCGGAUUUUAAAAAGUAAGUUGCCAAUUGCUUGCUAGAUUGCCCCAGACACUGCACACCUGAAUCAGAUGGAGCCCAGUGUACAGCAGUCAGUGUUCCUUUGCACAAGCCAGCAAUUCCACACCUGGGAUUCUGCUCCAGAGAACUGAAAACAUUGACAUCUCCGUUAUCGCUACUGCUUCCUUGAACUCUUCUGCCAAGGAAUUUGACGCAGAUGGAACAAAAAAGGGACAGACAAAAUAUAAACAGAACGACAUCUCAAGGAUUACCCAUGGAAAGAAGAUGGAAGUCACAUCAGGUUACCCUGGAGUUAGAUUUUACUCUCCUAUAAUUUUUAUUUCUUUGUAAUUGAACACACAAACAUGGGCUUGGAACCCAGUUUAAGAGAAGCCAUGAGUUUCAGUGUUUUUCUUUACCUCCAACCAAAUCUUCCCCUGAUAUCCUUACCUUGUGAAUUGAAUAGGAGUCUCUCUCUCUUUUUACAACAUGCAAUGAAUCCCAAAGCAAGAGCAACCACCAUGAAAAUUACUGUGAAUCAUGUUCCUCUAUACUCCAUCAGUAAGGCUAAAGCGCAAAGCAUUCUGUUUUGCUUGGUGUUAUAAUAACAAGAAGAUUGAGGAAACUUGGAUCCC